UGCCGCGUGCAGGAUGACGGUCCUAUGGAUUGUAAACUGCUUUUGUACGGGAAGAAACACUCCGACGUGUCGGAGCUUGACGGUACCGUAAGAAUAAGGAUCGGCUAACUCCGUGCCAGCAGCCGCGGUAAUACGGAGGAUCCAAGCGUUAUCCGGAAUCAUUGGGUUUAAAGGGUCCGUAGGCGGUCUGGUAAGUCAGUGGUGAAAGCCCAUCGCUCAACGGUGGAACGGCCAUUGAUACUGCUGGACUUGAAUUACUGGGAAGCAACUAGAAUAUGUAGUGUAGCGGUGAAAUGCUUAGAGAUUACAUGGAAUACCAAUUGCGAAGGCAGGUUGCUACCAGUGGAUUGACGCUGAUGGACGAAAGCGUGGGUAGCGAACAGGAUUAGAUACCCUGGUAGUCCACGCCGUAAACGAUGGAUACUAGCUGUUGGGAGCAAUCUCAGUGGCUAAGCGAAAGUGAUAAGUAUCCCACCUGGGGAGUACGUUCGCAAGAAUGAAACUCAGAGGAAUUGACGGGGGCCCGCACAAGCGGUGGAGCAUGUGGUUUAAUUCGAUGAUACGCGAGGAACCUUACCAAGGCUUAAAUGCAGACUGACCGAUUUGGAAACAGAUCUAUC
Molecule: ribosomal RNA, 620 nt
Filed under: Flavobacterium sp. So3Pw_2936
Lineage: Bacteria; Pseudomonadati; Bacteroidota; Flavobacteriia; Flavobacteriales; Flavobacteriaceae
Description: bacterial SSU rRNA
Rfam family: Bacterial small subunit ribosomal RNA
Source: RNAcentral